Molecule: ribosomal RNA, 822 nt
Filed under: Triticum aestivum (bread wheat)
Lineage: Eukaryota; Viridiplantae; Streptophyta; Magnoliopsida; Poales; Poaceae
Description: partial small subunit ribosomal RNA
Source: RNAcentral
AUGGAGAGCGCCGGCGCCGGCGAGGAGCGGCCGCGGGGCCACCGGUUCGUGCUCGUGCACGGCGUCUGCCACGGCGCGUGGAGCUGGUACAGGGUGGCCACGGCCCUGCGGUCGGCCGGCCACCGCGUCGACGCGCUCGACAUGGCCGCGUGCGGCGCCAGGCCGGGGCGCGCCGAGGAGGUGGGCUCGUUCCAGGAGUACAGCCGGCCGCUGCUGGACGCGCUGGGGGCGCUGCCGCCGGGGGAGAAGGCGGUGCUGGUGGGCCACAGCUACGGCGGCCAGAGCCUGGCGCUGGCCAUGCAGGCGCACCCGGACAGGGUCGCCGUCGCCGUCUUCGCCUCCGCCGCCAUGCCGGCCGCCGGGAAGCCCCUCAAGUUCGUCUCCGAACAGUUUGCGCAAGAAAGGGGCCCGGGUUUCUUCAUGGACAGCGUGAUCGAGACCACCGGCGGCGACGACCUGGAGCGCGCUUGCAAGACGUUCCUGCUGGGGCCGGAGUACAUGGCGCAGCGACUGUAUCAGCUCAGCCCAGCGGAGGACCUGACGCUGGCGACGAUGCUGGUGAGGCCGUCGCGGCGGUUCGUGGACGACGCCGUGAUGAACGGGGAGGAGGUGCUCACGGCGGAGAGGUACGGCGCGGUGAGCCGCGUGUACGUCGUCGCCGAGGAGGACGCCUCGUGGUCGCCCGAGUUCCAGCGGCGGAUGGCGUCGUGGAACCCCGGCGCGGAGGUGCGGGGGCUCCAGGGGGCCGAUCACAUGCCCAUGUUCUCCAAGCCCAGGGAGCUCUCAGAUCUCCUCGUGGAGAUAGCCGACAAGUACAUGUGA